CCCUUAGAUGUCCGGGGCUGCACGCGCGCUACACUGAAGGAAUCAGCGUGCUAAAACCAUUGUCGAAAGGCAUUGGUAAACCCAUUAAAAUCCUACGUGAUUGGGAUCGGGAAUUGCAAUUAUUUCCCUUGAACGAGGAAUUCCCAGUAAGUGUGGGUCAUAAGCUCGCGUUGAUUACGUCCCUGCCCUUUGUACACACCGCCCGUCGCUGCCCGGGACUGAACCGUUUCGAGAAAAGCGGGGACUGCUGCUGUCGGGGCUUUCGGGCCUUGGCUUCGGUGGAAACCGCUUUAAUCGCAGUGGCUUGAACCGGGCAAAANUCGUAACA
Molecule: ribosomal RNA, 328 nt
Filed under: uncultured eukaryote
Lineage: Eukaryota
Description: partial 18S ribosomal RNA
Rfam family: Eukaryotic small subunit ribosomal RNA
Source: RNAcentral